Molecule: long non-coding RNA, 507 nt
Organism: Aedes aegypti (yellow fever mosquito)
Lineage: Eukaryota; Metazoa; Arthropoda; Insecta; Diptera; Culicidae
Exons: 4
Source: RefSeq, a predicted model, not a curated record
UUAUUAUGUUUAUGUUUAUUCUGUGCUGUGCAGUUUUAAGUGGAAAUAGAAGAUUUCAUUGAGAAAAGGCCUUAUAUUCGACGAAACGUUUCGGUGAAUGAGCUCGAUUGAUGGAACAGUGGUGGGCUGUUUUGAGAUGCGGCGGCAAGCUUUUCGUGAAAGAUUGGCCCAUUUCAACCCCCAAAUUUUGCCGGGAUUACCGUAAUAGCCAUCUUGGCACAGCAAGAUGCAUCAGUUUGGCCAAUAAAAUCAAAUUGGGUGAUCCCCUCCCAACAGCUCCACAGGUGGAGAACGAUGAGGGAAAGAUCCUUUGACCCCUCAAGCCUUCUCCGAUCCUGCCAGUGUGGGUCGGAUCCCCGAAAUAAAUCAAGGUCAUCCAAUCAGCGAUGUUUGCCGUCGGGUUAGUGGGGACAUAUCGAAACUCCCGCACCUCAUCCCAUUAACGGAAACUGCCGACGGAUUGUACUGGAACAAGCAGAGAAAUAAAGUGAUGAUUUUAGAGUAAAU